GAACAGGGCGGCUUCUGGUUUGGCGGGUCCUUUGUCUCUCGGUGCAGCCGGAGCUCCAGGUCUCCUCUUCAGUACUCUGUGUCCUGUGCUCCUACAGGCCCAGCCUCUGUGGCCCUGUGACCUGCAGGUAUUGGGAGAUCCACAGCUAAGACACCAGGACCCCGGGAAGCCUAGAAAUGAGAUGGAGUCUUACCAUGUUCGCCAGCUUGAUCUUGAACUCCUGACCUCAGGUGAUUCACCCACCACAGCUUCCCAAAGUGCUGGAAUUACAGAAAUCCUAUUAGUAUCCCGUGGUGUCUGAAUGAGGUGGGCUGUCAUAGUGAGAACUUUUGAAGAUAUGUCUAUCUGGACUCAUGCUGAAAAUUCAGAAGUAUUUUUUCCAUGUCAUCAUUAUAAGUAGAAACUGAGGCUGAAACACUGCUUACAUUCUGAUUAUUGUGAAGGUGAAAUUCUAUCCAUGACGCCUGCAGGCUCUCCUCCUGCAGCUCAGACGUCACUCUCUGAUGUGAUACUAGAGUGCUGCUGUGGCAAAUGGGGUUCACAUAAAAUGUGAGCUGUGCUCUGGGCUGUGCCUCAGUGGCAGAUGGUAGCGGUAAAGAGAGGACACUAGCAACUAGGAGAAAGUAAACAGGAGUGCUGUAGCCCAGUGCCAGGGAGUACAGAGCCACUGCUCUAAAAUGUAAACAGCCAAAAAGAUAGAACACUAUUCAGCCAUUUUUGUAGCAGAGUGAAAGCCUAGCUUCACCUGGCUUCAAGCUGCUAAACCAACUCCUGUUAUGAUGAUGUGAAAAGUUUAUUUGUCAUUGAAUAUAAGCAAUUAGUAUACACAGAUGGCCUCUUCAAUAUCCAGGUGAAUUUAGGAUGA
RNAcentral lists this small RNA (865 nucleotides) under Pan troglodytes (chimpanzee). RNAcentral describes it as "processed transcript". Lineage: Eukaryota; Metazoa; Chordata; Mammalia; Primates; Hominidae. The record is from RNAcentral.